Molecule: transfer-messenger RNA, 405 nt
Filed under: Flavonifractor plautii
Lineage: Bacteria; Bacillati; Bacillota; Clostridia; Eubacteriales; Oscillospiraceae
Description: Standard tmRNA
Rfam family: transfer-messenger RNA
About the family: Bacterial tmRNA, also known as 10Sa RNA or SsrA, is named for its dual tRNA and mRNA-like properties. Its role is to liberate the mRNA from a stalled ribosome. To accomplish this part of the tmRNA is used as a reading frame that ends in a translation stop signal.
Source: RNAcentral
GGGGCAGUAAUGGGUUCGACGGGGUUUUGAGAGUGCAAAACACGCAGGAAUGAUACCGCCUAAAGGAUCAAAACAAAAUUAAACGACGAUACUGUUGUAAUGAUUCACCCAGCUUUUGCCGCUUUCGUGGCAAAUCGGGUUGCUGCUUGAACUAAUUUGAGCAUCCAAAACAGCGCACUUGGCCUGGUAAGCGCUUGAGGAUAAAAGAAGAGGUCGUUUGGUUUCCUUGUUCCCCUUACACAAACAAGGUGGUGGAGGCGAUACCGAUCCGGUACGCCCUGGGUAAGAUAUGCCGACAUCGUGGCACCCGCCGACAAGCAAACGCUUAAAAGCCGGCUAUUGCGUAAGAAUGUUUUGCUCAUGUAGGAAUUUCGGACGCGGGUUCGAUUCCCGCCUGCUCCACCA